UCUUUCUGGCUUUACUCCAGCAGAUUUCAUCUCAUGGCAGGCAGCACAUCUCAGUGUGGGUAGGAGGAUGGGGAUGUAAUGCGUGUUUGCAGCAUUUUUGCUUAAGCACCAUCAUUUAAUGUGGCAGUGUUUAGUAAACAAGUCAGUGGGAAGGCACAGAAAGAAGGCUGGAUUGAAUGUCAAGAUUUUACUUGACAUCAAGUUGUUUUCAAUAAUAGAAUAAUUCCUUAAAGGUAUGCAGUGUACCUGGCAAUUCACAAAUAUCCAUUGAACAAAUAAGUGUUUGUUUUUUGUUGUUUGUUUGUUUUUAUGAGUUGCCUAUAUUUGAUAUUCAAAAUUUUGUAAAUAUGCAAGUCAGCUUUAUAAUUUUAUUACAAAUUUUCUAAGAUUCUUUAGGGGAGAAAUCAUAAGGAAUUUGAAAAUUACCAUGAAUACAUUUACAGUUAGAAUUUUGUUGUAAGAUACCUUUAAAAAUCUUAUCAAAUUCAUUACUUUAAUAGAAAAGAUAAUUAUCAUUCAAGUGAA
Pipistrellus kuhlii (Kuhl's pipistrelle) is the source of this 525-nucleotide long non-coding RNA. RefSeq lists it as uncharacterized. The record is from RefSeq and is a predicted model, not a curated record. NCBI's taxonomy places the organism in Eukaryota, Metazoa, Chordata, Mammalia, Chiroptera, Vespertilionidae. The transcript has 3 exons.